GACGAGGUGGCCGAGUGGUUCAGGCAUUGGAAUGCUAAUCCAAUGUGCUCUGCACGCGUGGGUUCGAAUCCCAUCCUCGUCG
RNAcentral lists this transfer RNA (82 nucleotides) under Schistocerca americana (American grasshopper). RNAcentral's name for it is "tRNA-Ser". It matches the Rfam family "tRNA". From Rfam's summary of the family: Transfer RNA (tRNA) molecules are approximately 80 nucleotides in length. Their secondary structure includes four short double-helical elements and three loops (D, anti-codon, and T loops). The record is from RNAcentral. Lineage: Eukaryota; Metazoa; Arthropoda; Insecta; Orthoptera; Acrididae.